Molecule: long non-coding RNA, 1446 nt
Organism: Ipomoea triloba (trilobed morning glory)
Lineage: Eukaryota; Viridiplantae; Streptophyta; Magnoliopsida; Solanales; Convolvulaceae
Exons: 4
Source: RefSeq, a predicted model, not a curated record
CAAAUCCUUAAAAAUCUAAAUUCUAAAAUCCCUAAAUCCCUAGCGACCAGAAGAACGACUGAGCGACUCCGCCAAACACUCCGACGACGUUGCGAAUCUGUGAAUUUGGGAAUGUUGAAGUUGCAUCUUUCAAUAAUUUGAGUUUGGGUGCAAUGACGGAUUGCAUUAGCUAGUUGGAUGAAUGCACAUUGUUGAAAGAGCGAGUUAUCUGGAUUAUAUAUGGCAGGAAAAGACAGAAUUAGUGAACUCCCCGUGGGUAUACUUGACAAUAUUUUGGGACUUUUGCCGAUUCAAGAUGCUGCUAGAACUGCGAUUUUAUCUUCCUCCUGGAAGGAUAUCUGGUUUAGUUUGACAAAGCUCAACUUUGAUUAUGGUUUCUUUGAUUACCUAUGCCUUAAAUAUUCCGGUGCUGAAGGUCUGAAUUCGGAAUCUCCUAUUUUUGAUGUAAUCAACAAAAUUCUCAUGCGGCACAAUGGACCUAUUCACAAAAUUGUCUUCAGUUUCUCUAAAAAAGUAUUGGAAUUCCCUUUCUUUGAAGAAUUUGAAUUCGAGGAUAUAGUUAAUUUGUUGUCGCACAACUUGAAUCUGUGGUUCUUCUUCUCACCCAGAAUGGUGUUGAAGAAAUUGGCAUUUCUUGUUAUCUAGAUAUAGAAGCAAGAUGCAGGGUGCCGAAUUGCAUAUUCUCUUGCCCAACACUGAAGAGGUUGGAACUUUCUAAUGUCUCUGUUGAACUAAUAAAUGCAUAUUGUGUACUUCCGAAUGUUACAUCACUUCGUCUUCAGUAUGUUGACUUUAAGCCUAGAACUUGUUCGGAUUAUGUUGUUUAUCUUCCUAUGCUAGAGGAUCUUUCAUUUUUCGAUUGCGAUAAGAUAUUUUAUUUUAACAUCGUUGCACCAAAACUUGGUAGUUUGAAAAUCCUCCUGCCUGAGUGUUGUGAUUAUUUCGAAGAAUUUGGUCUUUUGCCGCCUAACUUGGACUUCAGAUCUAUAUCAAGUCUUAAUUUGGAAUGUUCCACUUGUUGCUUUGAGGUGUUUAUUGAAGAACUUAAUAGAGUAAACACAGAAAAUGCUUCGCACUUUAAAGUUUACCCAUUUUAAUGGGUUGAGGUCUGAAAUGCAGUGUAUUAAGGCUUUCCUUGCUUGCUUUCCCGGAAUUGAGAAGGUUGUCAUCGUUCAAGGUUGGAUUCCCUCUGAUGAAGAAUUUGAAAUUAUGCAGGAACUUUUACGUUUCCCUCGUGCCUCUACAAAAGCAGAAAUUUGUUACAAAUCUUAAUUUUAUGUUGUUUCCUUAGUACGCAAGUUCUGCAUUGUGUAAUGGUUUGUGAGAUUGCUUAUUAGGUUUGAAUGUACUAUCACAACUGUAGUUGGGUUUAAGGUGAAUUAAUUGUUUGCUCCCGGUAUUAUAUUAAGGGAAAAUACUACUUGUAUUCCCAAAUUCUACUCCCAA